GACGAACGCUGGCGGCGUGCUUAACACAUGCAAGUCGAACGGAAAGGCCCUGCUUUUGUGGGGUGCUCGAGUGGCGAACGGGCGAGUAACACGUGAGUAACCUGCCCUUGACUUUGGGAUAACUUCAGGAAACUGGGGCUAAUACCGGAUAGGAGCUCCCGCUGCAUGGUGGGGGUUGGAAAGUUUCGGCGGUUGGGGAUGGACUCGCGGCUUAUCAGCUUGUUGGUGGGGUAGUGGCUUACCAAGGCUUUGACGGGUAGCCGGCCUGAGAGGGUGACCGGCCACAUUGGGACUGAGAUACGGCCCAGACUCCUACGGGAGGCAGCAGUGGGGAAUAUUGCACAAUGGGCGGAAGCCUGAUGCAGCAACGCCGCGUGCGGGAUGACGGCCUUCGGGUUGUAAACCGCUUUCGCCUGUGACGAAGCGUGAGUGACGGUAAUGGGUAAAGAAGCACCGGCUAACUACGUG
RNAcentral lists this ribosomal RNA (468 nucleotides) under uncultured bacterium. Its description in RNAcentral is "partial 16S ribosomal RNA". It matches the Rfam family "Bacterial small subunit ribosomal RNA", at positions 28 to 507 of the family's 1533-position model. The record is from RNAcentral.